This 465-nucleotide ribosomal RNA is filed under the name Vreelandella stevensii. RNAcentral's name for it is "partial 16S ribosomal RNA". It matches the Rfam family "Bacterial small subunit ribosomal RNA", at positions 338 to 795 of the family's 1533-position model. The record is from RNAcentral. Lineage: Bacteria; Pseudomonadati; Pseudomonadota; Gammaproteobacteria; Oceanospirillales; Halomonadaceae.
CCUACGGGGGGCAGCAGUGGGGAAUAUUGCACAAUGGGGGCAACCCUGAUCCAGCCAUGCCGCGUGUGUGAAGAAGGCCCUCGGGUUGUAAAGCACUUUCAGUGAGGAAGAACGCCUGGUGGUUAAUACCCAUCAGGAAAGACAUCACUCACAGAAGAAGCACCGGCUAACUCCGUGCCAGCAGCCGCGGUAAUACGGAGGGUGCGAGCGUUAAUCGGAAUUACUGGGCGUAAAGCGCGCGUAGGUGGCUUGAUAAGCCGGUUGUGAAAGCCCCGGGCUCAACCUGGGAACGGCAUCCGGAACUGUCAAGCUAGAGUGCAGGAGAGGAAGGUAGAAUUCCCGGUGUAGCGGUGAAAUGCGUAGAGAUCGGGAGGAAUACCAGUGGCGAAGGCGGCCUUCUGGACUGACACUGACACUGAGGUGCGAAAGCGUGGGUAGCAAACAGGAUUAGAUACCCCGGUAGUC